UGAACGCUGGCGGCGUGCUUAACACAUGCAAGUCGAACGGAGCUGUUUGUGAAGCGGAAGAGCUUGCUCGGAAGUGGAAUAGGACAGCUUAGUGGCGGACGGGUGAGUAACGCGUGGGUAACCUACCUCAUACGGGGGGAUAGCAGUUGGAAACGACUGAUAAAACCGCAUAAAACGGCAGCAGGGCAUCCUGCAACCGUCAAAUAUUUAUAGGUAUGAGAUGGGCCCGCGUCUGAUUAGGCAGUUGGCGAGGCAAUGGCUCACCAAACCUACGAUCAGUAGCCGGCCUGAGAGGGUGAACGGCCACAUUGGGACUGAGACACGGCCCAAACUCCUACGGGAGGCAGCAGUGGGGAAUAUUGGACAAUGGGGGGAACCCUGAUCCAGCGAACCGCCGCGUGAGUGAAGAAGUAUUUCGGUAUGUAAAGCUCUAUCAGCAGGGAAGAUGAUGACGGUACCUGACUAAGAAGCCCCGGCUAACUACGUGCCAGCAGCUGC
RNAcentral lists this ribosomal RNA (498 nucleotides) under uncultured bacterium. Its description in RNAcentral is "bacterial SSU rRNA". It matches the Rfam family "Bacterial small subunit ribosomal RNA", at positions 30 to 518 of the family's 1533-position model. The record is from RNAcentral.